UACGUAGGGGGCGAGCGUUGUCCGGAUUUAUUGGGCGUAAAGAGCGUGUAGGCGGCCAGGUAGGUCCGUUGUGAAAACUCGAGGCUCAACCUCGAGACGUCGAUGGAAACCAUCUGGCUAGAGUCCGGAAGAGGAGAGUGGAAUUCCUGGUGUAGCGGUGAAAUGCGCAGAUAUCAGGAAGAACACCUAUGGCGAAGGCAGCUCUCUGGGACGGUACUGACGCUGAGGCGCGAAAGCGUGGGGAGCGAACAGG
This 253-nucleotide ribosomal RNA is filed under the name uncultured bacterium. Its description in RNAcentral is "partial 16S ribosomal RNA". It matches the Rfam family "Bacterial small subunit ribosomal RNA", at positions 524 to 776 of the family's 1533-position model. The record is from RNAcentral.